RNAcentral lists this unclassified non-coding RNA (221 nucleotides) under fungal sp. RNAcentral's name for it is "partial internal transcribed spacer region". The stretch from base 1 to 46 matches the Rfam family "Eukaryotic small subunit ribosomal RNA", at positions 1786 to 1831 of the family's 1831-position model. The record is from RNAcentral. Lineage: Eukaryota; Fungi.
AAGUCGUAACAAGGUCUCCGUUGGUGAACCAGCGGAGGGAUCAUUACAGAGUUGAAAAACUCCCAAACCCUUGUGAACAUACCUUUAACGUUGCUUCGGCGGGUGGCCCCCUCACAGGGGCCGCACAGCCCGCCGGAGGUAUACAAACUCUUGUAUUUUUGUUUUCUCUGAGUUGUCUUUUAAAUAAGUCAAAACUUUCAACAACGGAUCUCUUGGUUCUG